GACGAACGCUGGCGGCGUGCUUAACACAUGCAAGUCGAACGGAAAGGCCCUGCUUUUGUGGGGUGCUCGAGUGGCGAACGGGUGAGUAACACGUGAGUAACCUGCCCUUGACUUUGGGAUAACUUCAGGAAACUGGGGCUAAUACCGGAUAGGAGCUCCUGCUGCAUGGUGGGGGUUGGAAAGUUUCGGCGGUUGGGGAUGGACUCGCGGCUUAUCAGCUUGUUGGUUGGGUAGUGUCUUACCAAGGCUUUGACGGGUAGCCGGCCUGAGAGGGUGACCGGCCACAUUGGGACUGAGAUACGGCCCAGACUCCUACGGGAGGCAGCAGUGGGGAAUAUUGCACAAUGGGCGGAAGCCUGAUGCAGCAACGCCGCGUGCGGGAUGACGGCCUUCGGGUUGUAAACCGCUUUCGCCUGUGACGAAGCGUGAGUGACGGUAAUGGGUAAAGAAGCACCGGCUAACUACGUG
Molecule: ribosomal RNA, 468 nt
Filed under: uncultured bacterium
Lineage: Bacteria
Description: partial 16S ribosomal RNA
Rfam family: Bacterial small subunit ribosomal RNA
Source: RNAcentral